RNAcentral lists this ribosomal RNA (556 nucleotides) under Bifidobacterium pseudocatenulatum. RNAcentral describes it as "bacterial SSU rRNA". It matches the Rfam family "Bacterial small subunit ribosomal RNA", at positions 144 to 712 of the family's 1533-position model. The record is from RNAcentral. Lineage: Bacteria; Bacillati; Actinomycetota; Actinomycetes; Bifidobacteriales; Bifidobacteriaceae.
GGUCUCCUGGAAACGGGUGGUAAUGCCGGAUGCUCCGACUCCUCGCAUGGGGUGUCGGGAAAGAUUUCAUCGGUAUGGGAUGGGGUCGCGUCCUAUCAGGUAGUCGGCGGGGUAACGGCCCACCGAGCCUACGACGGGUAGCCGGCCUGAGAGGGCGACCGGCCACAUUGGGACUGAGAUACGGCCCAGACUCCUACGGGAGGCAGCAGUGGGGAAUAUUGCACAAUGGGCGCAAGCCUGAUGCAGCGACGCCGCGUGCGGGAUGACGGCCUUCGGGUUGUAAACCGCUUUUGAUCGGGAGCAAGCCUUCGGGUGAGUGUACCUUUCGAAUAAGCACCGGCUAACUACGUGCCAGCAGCCGCGGUAAUACGUAGGGUGCAAGCGUUAUCCGGAAUUAUUGGGCGUAAAGGGCUCGUAGGCGGUUCGUCGCGUCCGGUGUGAAAGUCCAUCGCUUAACGGUGGAUCUGCGCCGGGUACGGGCGGGCUGGAGUGCGGUAGGGGAGACUGGAAUUCCCGGUGUAACGGUGGAAUGUGUAGAUAUCGGGAAGAACACCAC